This 433-nucleotide ribosomal RNA is filed under the name uncultured bacterium. RNAcentral describes it as "partial 16S ribosomal RNA". It matches the Rfam family "Bacterial small subunit ribosomal RNA", at positions 29 to 507 of the family's 1533-position model. The record is from RNAcentral.
AACGAACGCUGGCGGCAGGCCUAACACAUGCAAGUCGAGCGAGAUCUUCGGGUCUAGCGGCGGAAGGUUGCGUAACGCGUGGGAAUAUUCCUCUUGGUACGGAAUAGCCUCGGGAAACUGGGAGUAAUACCGUAUGUGCCCUUUGUGGUAAAGAUUUAUCGCCAAGAGAUUAGCCCGCGUUGGAUUAGGUAGUUGGUGGGGUAAUGGCCUACCAAGCCGACGAUCCAUAGCUGGUUUGAGAGGAUGAUCAGCCACACUGGGACUGAGACACGGCCCAGACUCCUACGGUAGGCAGCAGUGGGGAAUCUUAGACAAUGGGGGCAACCCUGAUCUAGCCAUGCCGCGUGAGUGAUGAAGGCCUUAGGGUUGUAAAGCUCUUUCAGCUGGGAAGAUAAUGACGGUACCAGCAGAAGAAGCCCCGGCUAACUCCGUG